CAGACCCCUGAGACCUGUGUCUUGGAAGGAAAACAGGACUCAUCUCUCUCUCUUUUAAUUAGAGAAGAAAAUGUUGUCUGAAGUCUUCAGCAGCUCCUCAAGUCUCCUUGGCCAGAUCUGGAUAAGAGGAUUUCUAUAGCCUCUCUUGUUGUAGGUGGGAUGUCAUUAGAGCUUUCCUGGUUAGAAGAAGCUCUCAUCCACCCUGGUUGCCUAAGGUGCUACCUGUCCAAAGACAAUCCAGAGGCCUUGGGAAGAAAUAGAUGGUUUCCAUCCCUGAAAUGACCACCAAGAAGGCACACCCAGGCAACUCCUCUCUCACCUUAGACCUACUGAGAAUCUCUGCUGGUUCUGCCACUUAAAAUGGACACUUCAGUGCAAGAAGAAUCUUCUGAGUCUGAUGUAAUUGGUAUGAUGAUUACAAGAAUGGUUUCAAAGUUUAUGUCUUGUCAAAACCAUUAAGUUGUACAAUUCUAAUGAUUGAAAUUUGCUAUAUGUAAGUCAUACUUGAAAAGCUUGCUAAAAAAUGAAAUAAAACUAAAACAAAG
This is a long non-coding RNA of Heterocephalus glaber (naked mole-rat), 545 nucleotides long. The record is from Ensembl. NCBI's taxonomy places the organism in Eukaryota, Metazoa, Chordata, Mammalia, Rodentia, Bathyergidae.